UACAGAGGGUGCGAGCGUUAAUCGGAAUUACUGGGCGUAAAGCGUGCGUAGACGGUAGCGUAAGUCAGAUGUGAAAGCCCCGGGCUCAACCUGGGAACUGCAUUUGAGACUGCUCUGCUCGGGUGCGGAAGAGGGAAGCGGAAUUUCCGGUGUAGCGGUGAAAUGCGUAGAUAUCAGGAGGAACAUCCGUGGCGAAGGCGGCUCUCUGGGACGGUACUGACGCUGAGACGCGAAAGCGUGGGGAGCGAACAGG
Molecule: ribosomal RNA, 253 nt
Filed under: uncultured bacterium
Lineage: Bacteria
Description: partial 16S ribosomal RNA
Rfam family: Bacterial small subunit ribosomal RNA
Source: RNAcentral